UACUUUUAGGCAUUUCUAUUAUUGAUGCGGGAAUUUUGAAUAAAUACACUCAAAAAAAUCCACACGUUAACCUUAUGUGAAAAAACACGUAGAUUCCCAAAAUUGCUUUGUCAUCGGAGUUUACGUGAUCUUCUUAACAACCAUCGGAUCAUGAUUAAAUAUGAAAUGAAUCAUAUGUCAGCAUUAUUGCUGUUGUCACAUAUAUUUUAUGUGUCGCGUACAUACUUGAAUUCAUUUUGUCAUGUUCAUUUGGUGCUCGCAAUAUGGCGUCUAUUGAAAAACAUCGAUCACCAUAGGCCAAAUCCUUUUUGGCCCUUCUACGGUAUUUAUCACAAUGAUUUUAGGAUCUAAUAUUAGUACCGAGCAGAAGAAUAAUUUAUAAGCAAAUGUACCAUUUUUUGAGUUUACUGAAUGGCUCGACGAAACCAACCUUCAACAAUUUAUUUGCAUGACCCAUUGUGGAGUCCAAAAGGCAAAACCUCUAAAUUGUUUUCCAGCACAUCAAUCUUCUGAAAGUGGAUCAACAAAACCACAUCCUGA
This is a long non-coding RNA of Malaya genurostris, 540 nucleotides long. RefSeq lists it as uncharacterized. The record is from RefSeq and is a predicted model, not a curated record. The transcript has 3 exons. Lineage: Eukaryota; Metazoa; Arthropoda; Insecta; Diptera; Culicidae.